This 468-nucleotide ribosomal RNA is filed under the name uncultured bacterium. RNAcentral's name for it is "partial 16S ribosomal RNA". It matches the Rfam family "Bacterial small subunit ribosomal RNA", at positions 28 to 507 of the family's 1533-position model. The record is from RNAcentral.
GACGAACGCUGGCGGCGUGCUUAACACAUGCAAGUCGAACGGAAAGGCCCUGCUUUUGUGGGGUGCUCGAGUGGCGAACGGGUGAGUAACACGUGAGUAACCUGCCCUUGACUUUGGGAUAACUUCAGGAAACUGGGGCUAAUCCCGGAUAGCAGCUCCUGCUGCAUGGUGGGGGUUGGAAAGUUUCGGCGGUUGGGGAUGGACUCGCGGCUUAUCAGCUUGUUGGUGGGGUAGUGGCUUACCAAGGCUUUGACGGGUAGCCGGCCUGAGAGGGUGACCGGCCACAUGGGGACUGAGAGACGGACCAGAGUCGUACGGGAGGCAGCGGUGGGAAAUAUUGCACAAUGGGCGGAAGCCUGAUGCAGCAGCGCCGCGUGCGGGAUGACGGCCUUCGGGGUGUAAACAGCUUUCGCCUGUGACGAAGCGUGAGUGACGGUAAUGGGUAAAGAAGCACCGGCUAACUACGUG